RNAcentral lists this transfer RNA (75 nucleotides) under Eubacterium sp. RNAcentral describes it as "tRNA-Gln". It matches the Rfam family "tRNA". From Rfam's summary of the family: Transfer RNA (tRNA) molecules are approximately 80 nucleotides in length. Lineage: Bacteria; Bacillati; Bacillota; Clostridia; Eubacteriales; Eubacteriaceae. The record is from RNAcentral. RNAcentral also lists the same sequence under 3 other names.
UGGGAUAUAGCCAAGUGGUAAGGCAAGGGUCUUUGACUCCCUCAUUCGUGCGUUCGAGUCGCACUAUCCCAACCA